Molecule: ribosomal RNA, 511 nt
Filed under: Limosilactobacillus fermentum
Lineage: Bacteria; Bacillati; Bacillota; Bacilli; Lactobacillales; Lactobacillaceae
Description: bacterial SSU rRNA
Rfam family: Bacterial small subunit ribosomal RNA
Source: RNAcentral
UUAUAUGAGAGUUUGAUCCUGGCUCAGGAUGAACGCCGGCGGUGUGCCUAAUACAUGCAAGUCGAACGCGUUGGCCCAAUUGAUUGAUGGUGCUUGCACCUGAUUGAUUUUUGUCGCCAACGAGUGGCGGACGGGUGAGUAACACGUAGGUAACCUGCCCAGAAGCGGGGGACAACAUUUGGAAACAGAUGCUAAUACCGCAUAACAGCGUUGUUCGCAUGAACAACGCUUAAAAGAUGGCUUCUCGCUAUCACUUCUGGAUGGACCUGCGGUGCAUUAGCUUGUUGGUGGGGUAACGGCCUACCAAGGCGAUGAUGCAUAGCCGAGUUGAGAGACUGAUCGGCCACAAUGGGACUGAGACACGGCCCAUACUCCUACGGGAGGCAGCAGUAGGGAAUCUUCCACAAUGGGCGCAAGCCUGAUGGAGCAACACCGCGUGAGUGAAGAAGGGUUUCGGCUCGUAAAGCUCUGUUGUUAAAGAAGAACACGUAUGAGAGUAACUGUUCAUACG